UACGUAGGGUGCGAGCGUUGUCCGGAAUUAUUGGGCGUAAAGAGCUCGUAGGCGGUUUGUCGCGUCUGCUGUGAAAAACCCGAGGCUCAACCUCGGGCCUGCAGUGGGUACGGGCAGACUAGAGUGCGGUAGGGGAGAUUGGAAUUCCUGGUGUAGCGGUGGAAUGCGCAGAUAUCAGGAGGAACACCGGUGGCGAAGGCGGGUCUCUGGGCCGUAACUGACGCUGAGGAGCGAAAGCGUGGGGAGCGAACAGG
Molecule: ribosomal RNA, 254 nt
Filed under: uncultured bacterium
Lineage: Bacteria
Description: partial 16S ribosomal RNA
Rfam family: Bacterial small subunit ribosomal RNA
Source: RNAcentral